CUGUUUAAUUUAAAAAACACCUAGGGGGGUUUAGAGAGGGUAAACUUCCUAACUCUUCUAGUGUUGCAAACCUUACAACACCUUUUAAAACAUUGCUUUUUUUAGUGACAGAGUAUAAACAAUUAUAACAUAAAAA
This 136-nucleotide unclassified non-coding RNA is filed under the name soil metagenome. RNAcentral describes it as "partial internal transcribed spacer 1". The record is from RNAcentral.